This is an unclassified non-coding RNA of 209 nucleotides. The stretch from base 1 to 46 matches the Rfam family "Eukaryotic small subunit ribosomal RNA", at positions 1786 to 1831 of the family's 1831-position model.
AAGUCGUAACAAGGUCUCCGUUGGUGAACCAGCGGAGGGAUCAUUACCGAGUACUAUAACUCAUAACCCUUUGUGAACCUUUAUACCUGUUGCUUCGGCGGCGCUCCGGCGCCCGCCGGUACCAUCAGAAUCUCUGUUCGAACCCGACGAUAUUUCUGAGUGUUCUAAGCGAACUGUUAAAACUUUCAACAACGGAUCUCUUGGCUCCA